RNAcentral lists this long non-coding RNA (1685 nucleotides) under Sus scrofa (pig). RNAcentral describes it as "lncRNA (ENSSSCG00065024035.1)". The record is from RNAcentral. Lineage: Eukaryota; Metazoa; Chordata; Mammalia; Artiodactyla; Suidae.
GGCAAAAAGACCAAAAAAAAAAAAAAAAAAGAAAGAAACAAAGAUUUGGAGGAUAAAAAGACAUUGCCUGUUAGAAGGAGGAUAAAAGCUUUUUCUUUCCCUUCAUUAAUAAGUACCCUUCACUGAUUUAAUCCAGAAGUGUAUAUUGAGCCACAGCAAUGUGCUGGCCUUUGGUGAGGGGAGAAAGAGGGAAUGCAAAGAUGACUGAAAGAGAGUGCUUAUAAUCAAAAUACCAACAAUCCUUUAGAGAAUAUUAUGAUGAAAAGAUGCAUGUGUAAAUAGCUACAGUGAGUUAGAUUGUGAUAAAUGCAAAAGAGAAGCACAUCAAAAUACUGGGAAGAUUUGGAGGUAGGGUAUAAGAAGCCACAUCUGUUUAUAAGAGAAUCAGGAGAUGAAAUGAGAUGAGUGAACUUUGACACGGAGGUUUGAGAUUGGGUAGGAUUUUGAUAGUUGUAAAGGACAGCAUUAACAAAGACAUGGAAGCAAAUAGCAAGUAAUCUUCAAGUAAUCUUCAGCAUGAGUAUAAAUGGAUGUGAGCAUGAAAUAAAAACUCAAAGUUAUUACUUGGAUGUAGAUCACAGAUAGUCUUGAAAGAUGGAUUAAGAAGCACCUUUCAUAUGUAAUUCAAUAAGAGUGGGAACUACUGUAGUCUUUCAAUGAAAGAAGGGACUGGCAUAGUCCAGAUGGCAUGCAGAUCUGUUUGGUUAGUCAUAUUAGAGUUUGGUUGGCAAAAUGAGGUGAGGAACUUAUUUUGAUAUUCCAAAUGGAAAAUAGGAUCUGGUGUUGCUGUAGCUACUGCGUAGGCCACAGCUGCAGCUCUGAUUCAGUCCCUGGCCUCUGAAUUUCCAUUUGCCGUCAUUGUAGCCAUAAAAAAGAAAGAAAAAGAAAAGAAAGUGAUGAUGGUAUAUGAAUGAGAAUUAAAAGGAAGGAAUGGAUUCAAGCAAGGGAGGUAACUGCUGGCACUGCUGAAGUUGAGAACCAGAAUGGCCAAGGAAAAGAAAAAGAAAAGACAGCAAGGUCAAUGUGAGUUUGAAGUAAUUGUUUUUAAUGUACAUUUGGAUUGAAUUUUAUGGCUCCAAAUGUUUGGGUCUGCUUUUGAGUUGUUUUUUGGAGGCCUCACCUGAAAGGUAAUGGCUGAAUGUUUAGAAAUAGAUGAGAUAGCCAGGGGGCAAGUGAAGGGGCCAGAUGAAUACUGGGGGACACUAGCUACUAAAGAGCAACCUGAGGAGUUCCCUGGUGGCUUAGUGGGUUAAGGAUCUGCUGUUAUGGUGCAGGUUUGAUCCCUGGCCCAGGAACUUCUGCAUACUGUGGACAUGUUCCUCACUCCCACCCCCCAAAAAAAGAACAGCCUGAAAGAUGUGGUGUGUAGAAGCCAAGUAAGCAAAGAUUCUCCAGGAGGAAGGACUGUACACUGUUUUUUUUGUUUGUUUGUUUGUUUUUGGUUUUUUUUUUGUUUUUGUUUUGUUUUGUUUUUGUCUUUUGUCUUUGUUGUUGUUGUUGUUGUUGUUGCUAUUUCUUGGGCCGCUCCCGCGGCAUAUGGAGGUUGCAGACUUGGCUCGGACCCCACAUUGCUGUGGCUGUGGCAUAGGCCAGUGGCUACUGUUCGAUUCAGCCCCUGGCAGAACUUCCAUAUGCCAUGGUUGUGGCCCUAAAAAGACCAAAAAAAAAAAAAAAAAAAAAAAAAA